This is a non-coding RNA of Paramuricea clavata, 614 nucleotides long. The record is from the annotation of a GenBank genome assembly. NCBI's taxonomy places the organism in Eukaryota, Metazoa, Cnidaria, Anthozoa, Malacalcyonacea, Plexauridae.
UACUGUCAACAUGACUAUUCCAUUUAAGAUCAAAACAAUACAUACAAUAUACAAACAUACAUACAUAUUUUAAUACAAAGACAUACAAUAUUAUAAUAAACCCAAACUCCAUAAACCCACCAAGUCACCAUGUAUUAAUUAAUAGCCUAACUGCCAAUUCAUCAACGACUAUGAGGCAUAGUUCGUUUCUGAAUGGCGAGCCGAGUUUAUUCUUCAACAAGGCAACAAAUUCAGGAGACAAAGGCUCAAUUUAAGCUUCAUCAGCAGACGCAUAUGUACACAAAUAUCUGAAAAUUGGUUUCGUUGAUCCCACUAUAAGAACGGCCGAGUUAAUAUUUCCAAAACGGCGAUCAUCCUUAAUGCAAAGUCGUUGGACCGUAACUGUUCAUCAAUAUAAAUGCUAUGAAGAGGAACAAUUUAAAUACUAGAAUACUAGUUGGGCUUGAACAAACCCUUCGAAUAUCUUCAGCCAACAGGAAACUCUUUCCAAAUCCCGUAGGAAGGACAGCUAGAACAUCUCUACCUUCAAGUAGGCACUCUAUUGCAAGCGUUUGUUUCUGUAAGCUUGUUGUAAGACUUUCAACUACAUACGUAUCAAUUUUUGUUGCUUCCCG